This 482-nucleotide ribosomal RNA is filed under the name uncultured bacterium. RNAcentral's name for it is "partial 16S ribosomal RNA". It matches the Rfam family "Bacterial small subunit ribosomal RNA", at positions 30 to 507 of the family's 1533-position model. The record is from RNAcentral.
AUUGAACGCUGGCGGCAUGCCUUACACAUGCAAGUCGAACGGUAACGGGCCUUCGGGUGCCGACGAGUGGCGAACGGGUGAGUAAUACAUCGGAACGUGCCCGAUCGUGGGGGAUAACGAGGCGAAAGCUUUGCUAAUACCGCAUACGAUCUACGCAUGAAAGCAGGGGACCGCAAUGCCUUGCUCGGACGGAGCGGCCGAUGGCAGAUUAGGUAGUUGGUGGGAUAAAAGCUUACCAAGCCGACGACCUGUAGCUGGUCUGAGAGGAUGAUCAGCCACACUGGGACUGAGACACGGACCAGACUCCUACGGGAGGCAGCAGUGGGGUAUUUUGGGCAAUGGGCGCAAGCCUGAUCCAGCCAUGCCGCGUGCAGGAUGAAGGCGUUCGGGUUGUAAACUGCUUUUGUACGGAACGAAAAGCCUUCUUUUAAUACAGGAGGGUCAUGACGGUACCGUAAGAAUAAGCACCGGCUAACUACGUG